RNAcentral lists this unclassified non-coding RNA (1623 nucleotides) under Leishmania donovani. Its description in RNAcentral is "gene:LdHU3.30.1700(CDS-product:Acetyltransferase_ (GNAT)_family_putative)". The record is from RNAcentral. Lineage: Eukaryota; Euglenozoa; Kinetoplastea; Trypanosomatida; Trypanosomatidae.
GGGCGCUGCGCUCACCAACGAACGAGCGCCGUUCCCGCGUUUGAGAGCGGCGGCCGAGAAAUGAGAGACGUGGCGCGCAAGCCCCUCGCUCCGCUUUUUCGCCCUCGCACGCCCAAAGCCUGCUUUUUUUUUCCAGUUUCCAGGGAGCGCUGUAUGCCCCGUUUGCACUCCAAUGCGUGACGGGCAUCUUGCACCGACGGCGACCGCGAGUCUUGCCGCGCAGUUCAGCGUGUACUGCCUAGAGAAGCCAAGGCAGGAUGUGAGCGACGACGACGCAGCAGUGCCCGCGCGCGAAUCGGCACCGACCUCGUUACCAUCAAAGGCGGAUCUUGCAGCACCCCUUUCCUACCUCGAUGUGGUGCAGCAGCUCGACGGAGACGAUGAGUGGUCCUUCGCACCCUAUCCUCGGUGCAGUCGUGCGCAGCUGCUGCAGGUGCACGCUUACUGGGUGGCCAUUCGGAGUUCGGCAGCACCAGAGACGUGGAAACCAAGCUGGCCGAAGGCCAGCGACGGUGCGUCUGAGGUGCAAAAAAGCGAGGAGAGUGCUUCGAUCAGAAGUGCGGAAGAGGCGACUACAACACCAAGGUGCUUGUGCGACAGAGAUGACGGGUGCUCGGCGGGCUCGUGUCCGAGUGCCGACGCGCUACAGCUUGCCUGUGUUGUUGGCAUCGUGUGGGUGCGUCUAUCAGCGAGAACCCCUUCCACUUACUCUUUGGUGAAUCGCCGAACACCGCACAACGGCCAAGUCAGCGCUGGCAGCGCGAUCGCGGACUCGCCAAGUGUCAGCCUGUGCCGCCCUUCUGUGGAGGGUUACAUUCAAGUUGUCGUGACCCACCCACACUACCGGCGUCGCGGGCUUGCUUCAUGGCUGCUCACGCAAUGCUUGGCGUGCACAGAGGCACCAGCGGGUGUGUUCGCUUCUGACCGGCGUGAUGGUGUGGCAUAUGCGAUCGAGCGCUGGCACCUGCACACGUUGGCUGCGACGCGGCGGGCGGCAAAGCGUUCUCGCGGCGACGAAGAGACGUGGACGUGCCAGCAGGAUCACCCACGACCCGAUCAGCACCAUCAAGAUGCCAAUCACCGGAGGUCGGAGGGAGAAGGCAGCGAGGCAGUGGUAGCUGCCACGCUUGCCAUGUACCGUCGACUGGGAUUCCACGAGCGGCGCUACCUUGCGCGGUACUACGCCGGUAAAAACGACGCUGUGGAGUUGAUGAAGAUGUGCUUGUGACUUUUCCUGCUGUUCGCAACAACUAGUGUGCCGACAUGUCGGGAGGCUCGGCAGGAGGGGGAGAGGGGGGAGGUGGCACACGUGAUGCAUGUGCGGCUUUCGCUCUGCACCAACGUACUUGUCGAUCGCCCAUGGCGGCAUGAGCACUUCGUGGAUGGUCCAACGACUGACGGAGUUGAGAGAGCGAAGUGCGGUGCCUCGAGCCAUAGGCAGGGUUUCUGCUCGUGGGGGUGUCUCUGCUCUCAUGCUGCCUUGGCGGGCAUUGGCUGACCUCACGGCUGCUCUGCUCACGCGCGGUCGUCUGUGUGUGGGUACGCGUGCACAUUGUCACGAACCUGUGAACUAAUCAGGGCCACCGUUUGCGUUGCGGACGAGAAGUAAUCGAAGGACGAACG